AGACGGCCGGUUCCUAAACUAGGAUUAGAUACCCUAUUAUUUUGAGUGUUAAUGUUUUUACCUGAGUAGUAUUAGUUGUGUUCUUGAAACUUAAAGAAUUUGGCGGUAUCCUACUCCGUUCAGAGGAAUCUGUCUCGUUAUCGAUAGUCCGCGUUGGACCUUACUUAGGAUUAAUUUUGGUUUGUAUACCGCCGUUUAUUGAUUAUCUUUUUAGAGUGUUGUGAAUUUUCUGGUUUCUUUAAUUUGAUUUAUUGCAGGUCAAGGUGCAGCUUUUUCUAAGUGUAAUGAUGGAUUACAGUGUUAUGUGUUGUUUGGAUUGUUUGUUUGAAUAUUGGCAUGAAAUUGGAUUUGGUUGUAAUGUUUUGUAGAUUGUUUUCAUGAUAGUUGGUUCUAGGAUAUGUACACAUCGCCCUCGCUUAUGAGUUGGCCCCG
RNAcentral lists this ribosomal RNA (432 nucleotides) under Odontotermes obesus. Its description in RNAcentral is "partial 12S ribosomal RNA". Lineage: Eukaryota; Metazoa; Arthropoda; Insecta; Blattodea; Termitidae. The record is from RNAcentral.